RNAcentral lists this microRNA precursor (206 nucleotides) under Oryza glumipatula. Its description in RNAcentral is "MIR812 microRNA precursor family". It matches the Rfam family "MIR812 microRNA precursor family". Lineage: Eukaryota; Viridiplantae; Streptophyta; Magnoliopsida; Poales; Poaceae. The record is from Rfam by way of RNAcentral.
AAAAAGGCAAACCGUGGGUUCCCGUGCCAACGUUUGACUGUCCGUCUUAUAUGAAAUUUUUUUAUAAUUAGUAUUUUCAUUGUUGUUAGAUGAUAAAACAUGAUUAAUACUUUAUGCGUGACUUAUCUUUUUAAUUUUGUUCAUAACUUUUUCAAAUAAAACGGACGGUCAAAUGUUGGACACGAAAACCAGAGUAUGUCUUUUUU